RNAcentral lists this ribosomal RNA (328 nucleotides) under uncultured eukaryote. Its description in RNAcentral is "partial 18S ribosomal RNA". It matches the Rfam family "Eukaryotic small subunit ribosomal RNA", at positions 1470 to 1796 of the family's 1831-position model. The record is from RNAcentral.
CCCUUAGAUGUCCUGGGCCGCACGCGCGUUACACUGAUGCAUUCAACGAGCUUAUAACCUUGGCCGAGAGGCCUGGGCAAUCUUGUUAACGUGCAUCGUGAUAGGGAUAGAUUAAUGAAAUUAUUAAUCUUGAACGAGGAAUUCCUAGUAAACGCAGAUCAUCAAUCUGCAUUGAUUACGUCCCUGCCCUUUGUACACACCGCCCGUCGCACCUACCGAUUGGAUGGUCCGGUGAAGCCUCGGGAUUGUGGUUCUUGCCGCUUUAUUGUGGCGUGACCGCGAGAACUUGUCUAAACCUUAUCAUCUAGAGGAAGGUGAAGUCGUAACA